This 554-nucleotide ribosomal RNA is filed under the name uncultured bacterium. Its description in RNAcentral is "bacterial SSU rRNA". It matches the Rfam family "Bacterial small subunit ribosomal RNA", at positions 832 to 1386 of the family's 1533-position model. The record is from RNAcentral.
UCCGGGACUUAGUGCNGACGCUAACGCAUUAAGCACUCCGCCUGGGGAGUACGACCGCAAGGUUGAAACUCAAAGGAAUUGACGGGGGCCCGCACAAGCGGUGGAGCAUGUGGUUUAAUUCGAAGCAACGCGAAGAACCUUACCAGGUCUUGACAUCCCGAUGCCCGCUCUAGAGAUAGAGUUUUACUUUUUGUACAUCGGAGACAGGUGGUGCAUGGUUGUCGUCAGCUCGUGUCGUGAGAUGUUGGGUUANNNNNNNCAACGAGCGCAACCCUUAUUGUUAGUUGCCAUCAUUAAGUUGGGCACUCUAGCGAGACUGCCGGUAAUAAACCGGAGGAAGGUGGGGAUGAUGUCAAAUCAUCAUGCCCCUUAUGACCUGGGCUACACACGUGCUACAAUGGUUGGUACAACGAGUCGCAAGCCGGUGACGGCAAGCUAAUCUCUGAAAGCCAAUCUCAGUUCGGAUUGUAGGCUGCAACUCGCCUACAUGAAGUCGGAAUCGCUAGUAAUCGCGGAUCAGCACGCCGCGGUGAAUACGUUCCCGGGCCUUGUNC